Molecule: transfer RNA, 65 nt
Filed under: Paratapes textilis (textile venus clam)
Lineage: Eukaryota; Metazoa; Mollusca; Bivalvia; Venerida; Veneridae
Description: Paphia textile (textile venus clam) tRNA-Met
Source: RNAcentral
GUAGAGAUAAACUAAUGAAAGUUAUCUGGUUCAUGCCCAGAAUAUAAGGGUUUCCCUUUUUUACA